GAUGCACGCUGGCGGCGUGCCUAAUACAUGCAAGUCUAGCGAACAGACGAGGAGCUUGCUCUUCUGACGCUAGCGGCGGACGUGCGAGUAACACGUGGAUAACCCACCUAUAAGACUGGGAUAACUUCGGGAAACCGGAGCUAAUACCGGAUAAUAUAUUGAACCGCAUGGUUCCAUAGUUAAAGACGGUUUUGCUGUCACUUAUAGAUGGAUCCGCGCCGCAUCAGCUAGUUGUUAAGGUACCGGCUUACCAAGGCGACCAUGCGAAGCCGACCUGAGAGGGUGAUCGGCCACACUGGUACUGAGACACGGUCCAGACUACUACGGGAGGCAGCCGUAGGGACUCUUCCGCAAUGGGCGAAAGCCUGACGGAGCAACGCCGCGUGAGUGCUGACAGUAUUCGGAUCGUAAAGCUCUGUUAUUAGGGGAGAAAAAGUGUGUAAGUAGCUAUGCACGUGUUGACGGUCCCUAGCAAGAAAGCCACGGCUCACUCCGUG
This 497-nucleotide ribosomal RNA is filed under the name uncultured bacterium. Its description in RNAcentral is "partial 16S ribosomal RNA". It matches the Rfam family "Bacterial small subunit ribosomal RNA", at positions 28 to 507 of the family's 1533-position model. The record is from RNAcentral.